Molecule: ribosomal RNA, 439 nt
Filed under: uncultured bacterium
Lineage: Bacteria
Description: bacterial SSU rRNA
Rfam family: Bacterial small subunit ribosomal RNA
Source: RNAcentral
ACGCGAUGAACCUUACCAGGUCUUGACAUCCCAUUGACCGCUAUGGAGACAUAGCUUUCCCUUCGGGGACAGUGGUGACAGGUGGUGCAUGGUUGUCGUCAGCUCGUGUCGUGAGAUGUUGGGUUAAGUCCCGCAACGAGCGCAACCCUUGUUCUUAGUUGCCAGCAUUCAGUUGGGCACUCUAAGGUGACUGCCGGUGACAAACCGGAGGAAGGUGGGGAUGACGUCAAAUCAUCAUGCCCCUUAUGACCUGGGCUACACACGUGCUACAAUGGAUGGUACAAAGGGCUGCAAGACCGCGAGGUUUAGCCAAUCCCAUAAAACCAUUCUCAGUUCGGAUUGCAGGCUGCAACUCGCCUGCAUGAAGCUGGAAUCGCUAGUAAUCGCGGAUCAGCAUGCCGCGGUGAAUACGUUCCCGGGCCUUGCACACACCGCCCGU